RNAcentral lists this ribosomal RNA (546 nucleotides) under Ambystoma maculatum (spotted salamander). RNAcentral describes it as "partial 16S ribosomal RNA". It matches the Rfam family "Bacterial large subunit ribosomal RNA", at positions 1822 to 2597 of the family's 2925-position model. Lineage: Eukaryota; Metazoa; Chordata; Amphibia; Caudata; Ambystomatidae. The record is from RNAcentral.
CUUGCAUACAAAGUAUAAGAGGCCCUGCCUGCCCAGUGACACUAGUUCAACGGCCGCGGUAUCAUGACCGUGCAAAGGUAGCGUAAUCACCUGUCUUUUAAUUUAAGACCUGUAUGAAUGGCAAAACGAGAGUCUAACUGUCUCUUUAAGUAAAUCAGUGAAACUAAUCUUCCCGUGCAGAAGCGGGGAUAAUACCAUAAGACGAGAAGACCCUAUGGAGCUUUAAAUUUAACCUAACUAUAACUCUAUUUUACUCAAAAGAGAAAACAUGUACCAUUAUAGAUUAAUAAAAAUUUUAGGUUGGGGCGACCACGGAAAAAAGAAAAACUUCCGAGAUGUACUUUUUAGAAGGACACUUCACAAAAUAGAAAAGUCUAACAUAUUGACCCAAUAAUUGAUCAACGAACCAAGUUACCCUAGGGAUAACAGCGCAAUCUUCUCCAAGAGUUCUUAUCGACGAGUAGGUUUACGACCUCGAUGUUGGAUCAGGACACCCAAAUGGUGCAGCAGCUAUUAAAGGUUCGUUUGUUCAACGAUUAAAGUCCU